AAAAAGACAAACCCUGGUUUCCGUGCCCAACGUUUGACCGUCUGUCUUAUUUGAAAAAGUUAUGAAAAAAUUAAAAAGACAAGUCAUCCAUAAAAUAUUAAUCAUGUUUUAUCAUCUAACAACAAUGAAAAUACGAAUUAUAAAAAAAUUUCAUAUAAGACGGACAGUUAAAGUUGGACACGGAAACCCAGGGUUUGCCUUUUU
RNAcentral lists this microRNA precursor (204 nucleotides) under Oryza rufipogon (brownbeard rice). Its description in RNAcentral is "MIR812 microRNA precursor family". It matches the Rfam family "MIR812 microRNA precursor family". Lineage: Eukaryota; Viridiplantae; Streptophyta; Magnoliopsida; Poales; Poaceae. The record is from Rfam by way of RNAcentral.